UACGUAGGGUGCGAGCGUUAAUCGGAAUUACUGGGCGUAAAGCGUGCGCAGGCGGUUUUAUAAGCCAGAUGUGAAAUCCCCGAGCUCAACUUGGGAACUGCGUUUGGAACUGUCAGACUAGAGUGCGUCAGAGGGGGGUGGAAUUCCGCGUGGAGCAGUGAAAUGCGUAGAGAUGCGGAGGAACACAGAUGGCGAAGGCAGCCCCCUGGGAUGACACUGACGCUCAUGCACGAAAGCGUGGGGAGCAAACAGG
This 253-nucleotide ribosomal RNA is filed under the name uncultured bacterium. RNAcentral's name for it is "partial 16S ribosomal RNA". It matches the Rfam family "Bacterial small subunit ribosomal RNA", at positions 524 to 776 of the family's 1533-position model. The record is from RNAcentral.